This is a long non-coding RNA of Herpailurus yagouaroundi (jaguarundi), 593 nucleotides long. RefSeq lists it as uncharacterized. Lineage: Eukaryota; Metazoa; Chordata; Mammalia; Carnivora; Felidae. The record is from RefSeq and is a predicted model, not a curated record. The transcript is spliced from 2 exons.
ACAUCCAAAACGAGGCUUGAACUCAUGACCCUGAGAUCGAGAGUUGGAUGCUUCACCAACUGAGCCAGCUAGGGCAUCCCUGAAACUCAUUAUUUUUAAGUCGUAUUUUCAGAGGUUCAGGUGCAUGUGUGUAUUACAAAAAACACUAGAGCAGCAGCCAGUUAGAUAAUGUAAUUAAAAGGAAAAGAUACUAUUCACAGUAGCAGUGAAAGCUGUAAAGUAUUUAGUAAUUAAGUAACAUACAAAUAUCCUGUGUUUGUUUUAGUAGGUGGUGUUGGUAAACUGGCUUUUUACAUGGAGAAAAACAGGAUACCUAACUCGGAUCAUGUCCAAAGAUGGUCUCUCAAUGGACUAAAGGUCUUAAAUGUGAAAGUGGGAAGAGUAGGGGAUCAAAAAUUCAUCAUCUCGGAGAUAAAAGCAUAUCCUUCAGUGAGCUGUGGCUGAGGUAAGAUGUAGAAAUGAGCCCCACACCCCAAAACAGGACAAGUCCAGAAGGCCAGUAAGUGAUCAAGUCCUGGUCUCCUGCCCACCUUCUCCUCCUGUGUAGCCUGACCUGCAGCCCUGAGGAAACCUGUAUCCCUGGCCUGAAGCGA